RNAcentral lists this ribosomal RNA (490 nucleotides) under uncultured bacterium. RNAcentral's name for it is "partial 16S ribosomal RNA". It matches the Rfam family "Bacterial small subunit ribosomal RNA", at positions 30 to 507 of the family's 1533-position model. The record is from RNAcentral.
AUUGAACGCUGGCGGCAGGCCUAACACAUGCAAGUCGAACGGUAACAGGAAGAAGCUUGCUUCUUUGCUGACGCGUGGCGGACGGGUGAGUAAUGUCUGGGACACUGCCUUAUGGAGGGGGAUAACUACUGGAAACGGUAGCUAAUACCGCAUAACGUCGCAAGACCAAAAAGGGGGACCUUCGGGCCUCUUGCCAUCGGAUUUGCCCAGAUGGGAUUAGCUAGUAGGUGGGGUAACGGCUCACCUAGGCGACGAUCCCUAGCUGGUCUGAGAGGAUGACCAGCCACACUGGAACUGAGACACGGUCCAGACUCCUACGGGAGGCAGCAGUGGGGAAUAUUGCACAAUGGGCGCAAGCCUGAUGCAGCCAUGCCGCGUGUAUGAAGAAGGCCUUCGGGUUGUAAAGUACUUUCAGCGGGGAGGAAGGGAGUAAAGUUAAUACCUGUGCUCAUUGACGUUACCCGCAGAAGAAGCACCGGCUAACUCCGUG